AGUGAACGCUGGCGGUAGGCCUAACACAUGCAAGUCGAACGGCAGCACAGUAAGAGCUUGCUCUUACGGGUGGCGAGUGGCGGACGGGUGAGGAAUACAUCGGAAUCUACUUUUUCGUGGGGGAUAACGUAGGGAAACUUACGCUAAUACCGCAUACGACCUACGGGUGAAAGCAGGGGAUCUUCGGACCUUGCGCGAUUGAAUGAGCCGAUGUCGGAUUAGCUAUUUGGCGGGGUAAAGGCCCACCAAGGCGACGAUCCGUAGCUGGUCUGAGAGGAUGAUCAGCCACACUGGAACUGAGACACGGUCCGAACUCCUACGGGAGGCAGCAGUGGGGAAUAUUGGACAAUGGGCGCAGGCCUGAUCCAGCCAUACCGCGUGGGUGAAGAAGGCCUUCGAGUUGUAAAGCCCUUUUGUUGGGAAAGAAGAGCAGCAGGUUAAUACCCCGCUGUUCUGACGGUACCCAAAGAAUAAGCACCGGCUAACUUCGUG
RNAcentral lists this ribosomal RNA (492 nucleotides) under uncultured bacterium. RNAcentral's name for it is "partial 16S ribosomal RNA". It matches the Rfam family "Bacterial small subunit ribosomal RNA", at positions 29 to 507 of the family's 1533-position model. The record is from RNAcentral.